CCUACGGGAGGCAGCAGUGGGGAAUAUUGCACAAUGGGCGAAAGCCUGAUGCAGCGACGCCGCGUGAGGGAUGACGGCCUUCGGGUUGUAAACCUCUUUCAGCAGGGAAGAAGCGAAAGUGACGGUACCUGCAGAAGAAGCGCCGGCUAACUACGUGCCAGCAGCCGCGGUAAUACGUAGGGCGCAAGCGUUGUCCGGAAUUAUUGGGCGUAAAGAGCUCGUAGGCGGCUUGUCACGUCGGUUGUGAAAGCCCGGGGCUUAACCCCGGGUCUGCAGUCGAUACGGGCAGGCUAGAGUGUGGUAGGGGAGAUCGGAAUUCCUGGUGUAGCGGUGAAAUGCGCAGAUAUCAGGAGGAACACCGGUGGCGAAGGCGGAUCUCUGGGCCAUUACUGACGCUGAGGAGCGAAAGCGUGGGGAGCGAACAGGAUUAGAUACCCUGGUAGUCCACGCCGUAAACGGUGGGAACUAGGUGUUGGCGACAUUCCACGUCGUCGGUGCCGCAGCUAACGCAUAAGUUCCCGCCUGGGAGUCGGCCGCAAGGCUAAAACUUAAAGGAAUUGAACGGUCGUGAGAGUGCGAGACGACGACGAGGAGAGG
This 597-nucleotide ribosomal RNA is filed under the name uncultured bacterium. Its description in RNAcentral is "bacterial SSU rRNA". It matches the Rfam family "Bacterial small subunit ribosomal RNA", at positions 338 to 961 of the family's 1533-position model. The record is from RNAcentral.